GGUGGAAGCAAGGGAGCCCAGCCGAAGCCAUGGCCAGUACAGUGGUAGCAGUUGGACUGACCAUUGCUGCUGCAGGAUUUGCAGGCCGUUAUGUUUUGCAAGCCAUGAAGCAUAUGGAGCCUCAAGUAAAACAAGUUUUUCAAAGCCUACCAAAAUCUGCCUACUGCCAAUAAAGGGAAAAUAAGAGAUGCUCACUGACGAAUUAUGCUUUCAAAUCAUCCUGACAAAGGAGGAUCUCCUUAUAUAGCAGCCAAAAUCAAUGAAGCUAAAGAUUUACUAGAAGGUCAAGCUAAAAAAUGAAGUAAAUGUAUGAUGAAUUUUAAGUU
Molecule: long non-coding RNA, 326 nt
Filed under: Homo sapiens (human)
Lineage: Eukaryota; Metazoa; Chordata; Mammalia; Primates; Hominidae
Description: HSALNT0210300
Source: RNAcentral